AGCGUAUAUUAAAGUUGUUGCAGUUAAAACGUUCGUAGUUGAAUUUGUGUUCCACACGGGCAGUACACCUAAAUCUUGGGCUUGUACAUUGCCUUAAAAUUAAAAAUGUGUGUGAACGUAUUACCGGCUGAAUUUAUAUUUUUAAUAUGAAUUCACAUAUUAUAUGUCCUACUUCAGUGCUCUUAAUCGAGUGCUGUUGUGGGCCGGUACAAUUACUUUGAACAAAUUAGAGUGCUUAAAGCAGGCUUUUAAUGCCUGAAUAUUUGUGCAUGGAAUAAUGGAAGAGGACAUCUGUUCUAUUUUCUAUUGGUUUUUAGAUCAAGAUGUAAUGAUUAAUAGAAGCAGUUGGGGGCAUUAGUAUUACGACGCGAGAGGUGAAAUUCUUGGACCGUCGUAAGACUGACUAAAGCGAAAGCAUUUGCCAAAUAUGUUUUCAUUAAUCAAGAACGAAAGUUAGAGGUUCGAAGGCGAUCAGAUACCGCCCUAGUUCUAACCAUAAACGAUGUCAGCUAGCAAUUGAAUGUAGCUACUACUAUGGCUCUUUCAGACGCUUCUCGGGAAACCAAAGCUUUUGGGCUCCGGGGGAAGUAUGGUUGCAAAGCUGAAACUUAAAGGAAUUGACGGAAGGGCACCACCAGGAGUGGAGCCUGCGGCUUAAUUUGACUCAACACGGGAAAACUUACCAGGUCCGAACAUAAAUAAGUAAGACAGAUUGAUAGCUCUUUCUCGAAUCUAUGGGUGGUGGUGCAUGGCCGUUCUUAGUUCGUGGAGUGAUUUGUCUGGUUAAUUCCGAUAACGAACGAGACUCAAAUAUAUUAAAUAGAUGCAUUCAGGAUUAUGGUGUUGAAGCUUAUAUGCUCGCCUGUUUUCGUUCCUCACGGUGCGUUUGCAGUUGUGUAUGUAUGUAAGUGGAGCCAUACCUGUUUGUUUGUCUAAUUAAAAAUAGACACUAGCUUCUUAAAUGGACAAAUUG
This 973-nucleotide ribosomal RNA is filed under the name uncultured eukaryote. RNAcentral's name for it is "SSU rRNA". It matches the Rfam family "Eukaryotic small subunit ribosomal RNA", at positions 596 to 1426 of the family's 1831-position model. The record is from RNAcentral.